GUUUGAAGUGCCCAUCACUGAAUUAAUCACUAUGGCCAGGAGGAUAUGGAUCCUGACUGCACUGACCGGGUCGUAUGGCCACCCCUGGAGCCAAGGAUGAGGAAAUAAAAACGAUACAGGAAAACUAGCAGUGGUUAAACAGCGAUCUGGCUGUCAACGUGCUGUUGGAAGCAGUAACAAUAUCGAAGGCAGCCAGUUGUUGGUAGUCACACUACAGCAGAGGAGGGCAAUGCCGCUUUGGGAAACCAGAUGCCUGUCCAGCGGAAGGAGGACAGUAGAGAAGUGGUGAGUCCAGGACUGAGUGCAAUGGGCAACAGGCUCAUGUUAAAUGAAUUUCAUGGAGCACUAGAGUAACUUUCACAAGGCUGAACAUGUGUCUUAAAUAUUGCAAGGGUCUAAAAUUCCAGCUACCCUCAACAAAAAUGGCCUCCAGACUUGCAAGUUACCUGCUAAUGCUCAAAUUAGCAGCAAAAUAAAGUUAAGGGACCUACUGGAAACAUUUCCCAAGAGGUAUUCAUGGAAAAAAAAGAAAAAAAAAACAAACAAAAAAAGGCAGUGCAGAAUUCAUAGCUAUGCGUGUACAUGUGUUCUAGUUACUUCACACACAGCAAUACUGAAAAAGAAGACUAUAAAUGGAUCUGUGCACCAAGAGUUCAGGAAGAAGUUGAGGAAUAUGAUUUUUUAAAAAGUUAACAUUUAAUAGCAUAUAAACUUAGCAUGCUAUAUUUCAUGGCAAAGUGACAAAUGCUAUUCAAAGAGAGUCAGGACCAUGACUCUCCUCACAUUUAAAAAAAAAAAAAUAGAAAAAGGGGGAAAAAAGCUAAAAAUUCCCGGGAUACCCCCAAAAACCUUGAAAAAUUAUGCAUCUUGCUUAUCUGUAAGAUUUUUGUGAGGUUCCCUUUUUUCUAAACAAGAAAUGCAAUUUGCACUGACAAUGCCAGAUGGAACAUGCUCCAAUCCUGCUUGUGAGUUCUGGGUAAGAGAUUAAAUCUUAAGCACAAAGAAGAAAUAAAUGAGUUACUGAAAAGCAGUCACAACUAAGACUGACAGGCAGGAUCAGAGGCGUACAUGUAAUACUUCGUCACACAUCGCUUCAACAUACCAUCACUGACUUUUGGCAUUAGGCAACUUCUUUCCUCUCCAAGUUUCAAGAUGAGGAAACAUGGGCAUGCACACAUGGGACAGCAUGGAGCUUUCAACUUCUAACAUAGGAAAAAGCAACACCAGAGGAGGAAAAUGGUACAGAUUCAUGCAUCCAGUUUAGAAUCCAUUUUUUUCCAGGAAUCUUUCAAAGGUGUUAACUGCUCUAUUACAUUUCAAACUCCCAAUGGCCUUAGCUAGCAAAUUUAGAAGGAAAAAAAAUUUAACUACCAGUGACUGACUUUCUGGCUAUCGAAUUUUCCAUCUCUUAGGACACAGCCCAAGAGGCAAGAGAGCUUAUGGUACACACAUCUUUGCAGAUAUUAAGGUAGUGAAAGACUUCAUUUUUACCUCUAAAAACUUCUAUCUAUGGCAGGAGAAAUGACAGUCACCCAUAGGCCACCUUCCUCUCUAAUCCUGUUACUGACGCGCAUCCAUCCUAGACUAGCUGAGUAUAUACCUGAGAAACAUUAGUGUUAAAAUAUCGCCCUUUACAAAGACUGGUAGAUGGGGCCAAAGUGCAGAAAGCAACAGUUUUCUCUCAGUUUGUUUCGCUGUUAGUGUCACAGUUUUUAGAGCUCCUGGUGCCACAUGACUAUCCGUAGUGAGGACAAAUCCUGCUUAGAUGAAACCCAAGUCAAACAAUUCAUCCUUCCACAGAGCACACUAAUGACAGCUUAACUGGUUCACAGGUUCCAAAACCCUAGUGUCCAACAAAAGUCAUUAGAGUCCUCUAGAAAGAAAUAUGUACAAUUGCUAAAGGGACCAUCCAGGGUAUCGUCUACAAUUAUUCCAGUUAGCUUGGUAUCAAUGCUUUGCCUAUGGCUGUUAUUUGGUUCAAUGGUAGAAUAAGGCGACGCUUUUAACAAUUUGCAAUUGAAUUCUCCUCUCUCUCUCUCACACACACACACACACACACACGCACAGACGCCCAGAUAUACACACAUCAGGCACAUGACCCAAAAAGUACAAAACAAAAGCAUAGAGGGCUUUGGUGGGAGGGACAGGGUUCUAAAUAAAUAAACAUCUUUACAGAUAAAACACUUGGGUUGCAGAAAUAUCACUGAGGUUUUUGAGAAGGCCGUGCAGAGGUUUGCAUGCUAGAAGAUAACUUUUUUGAAGACUUCUCAGCAGACUGCCUGCCUCCAGGAGACGAGGGCACUCCAGAAUCUAGCUGGGAAGACUUGGACUUGCGAGCGGACAGCAGGGAAUGUUUAGCAGAAGCAGGGUCCUUGGAGACAAGCUGCUCUUUUCCAACUGCAUUUGCACUUGGCUGCUGGGAACCUGGAGCCUGGUAGCCUUUCUCUGCCUUGUCAUCCAUGGCAUUCUUACAGGCCGACUUGACAGAGCUCCCGCUGGCCUUCUUGGAGAGCAAGGUUGUCUUGCCAAGAUCAGUUGACCGCCGAGUUUCCUUCUGUCUCAAGGCUGACUUGAAGAAGGACAGCCCCUUGUCCUCCGACUUGCUGUCCCUCUUUAGACCGGCCUUCAUGCUCGUGUUGGGGGAGCGCAGGCUGGCCAUGGAAGAGCUCCUGACAUGUUUCCCAUCCCCUCGGCCCUCCCCCACCCUGGUCUGGCUCACCCUUGGGGAGUUGGGUUUGGAGCUGGAGGCUAUGCUGGCUCUGUCGGAAGCCAGGCUUUGUCUGGAGCCCUCUCUACUUAAGCUCCUGUCUGAAGUCCUGCCCUUCCCAGGAGGGAAGGGGCCCCUUGAGGCAGGGCCUGAGGCUUUUUUGGCAGACGUGGAGGAAGCAGUGUACGUGAGAGCAGGGGCCAACUUCUGCUUCUGGGGUGAAGGAGAUGAUGCGGAGUCCUGGCAUUUGGGGGAAGACUCUUUUUUGGGUUGGGCGGGGACAGGAGAGGAAUGGCGUCCACUGGCCCUGGAAGAGGAGUCUGCUUUGCUUCGGGAGCGGGAGGGCUUUACAGAAACUUUCACAGGAACAGGAGAAGAAGGGGACGUACUUGAAAGCGAUGAUUCCUGGCUUGCCAACACUGGUCUCCCCUUCCGCACACCUCUAUCUGGCUCAGAAGCGCCUUUGGAGCUGGGGGAUCUCUUGGUUGUGCUCUCUGGUUUCUUCGUGAGGGAGCCUGGGUGGCUGGGGGGUUUCACCUCUUUGACUGGAGAGCUGUCUACAGAAUCACUCUGAUCCACAUAAGCAAUCUGGUUAUUGUUAUCAAAAGGAUCAGAGAUGGGGGGCACACGAUCCCCUUGUGCUGAGUUUUUGCUCUGUGCAUCUACAACACUGGAGUUCAAUUUGCGGGUGUCUGAUUCGUCCUUGAACACACUUUCCAUGACAGCCAGAGGGGCCCGACCCACAGCCUUGUGCUCACGUCGACUGUGACUAUCGCUUGGCUCCUGGUAACUGCUGGAAAGGUUCCUCAAGCUACCAAAGCAAGAGAUGGAGACCUUGUCGUCCACUGCCUCCCCGAUCUUCUCCAAGGUGGAGGCGGAGGUGUGAAUCGGAGAGUCCCCUGAGAAUCGGGAAGGAGAAUUGGAGCGCAUCUGCAGCUUAGCAGACAGGGACCAAGAAGGUCGAAUGCAAUUUUCAGUGACGGCCAAGGGGCUGGUGACAGAAGAUCUGGACGACAAGCUCUGACGCUGGACACUUCUCACGAACGGUCGAGUUGAGAAACCUCCUGAAUACAGCAAAGAGAAUUUUGUUAAGCUAAAUGACAAAACUUGCCCAUAACAUCUAAAGAUGGAAGGGACAUGGAAGGCAGGCAAAACUCGUGGUAUGAGAGAAGCAUGGCGUUCAGAGCCAGCACGUCUGGGGUUAAAGUGUGGCCAUAUGACUUCUACUGUCCUGAGCCCAGUUCGCUUAUCUAUAAGACAGGGACAUUCUAACCUAGGAGUCGCCACACUCUCUCUUUACCUUCUUACUCUACGCCAGGGGUCAGCAGACUUUUCCUGUAAAGGCCCAGAUGGUAAAUAUUUUAGACUUGUGGGCUAGCUACCCAACUCUGUCACUGUAGCACCAACACAGCCACAAGGGACACAGAAACACAUGGGUGUGGCUGGGUUCCAGUAAAACUUGAUUCACAAACAAAGGCAGGGGCCAUGUUUGGCCUGUGGGCUGCAGUGUGCUGACCCCUGUCCUAACUCACACGGCUACUCUGAGAAUUAACUAAAAUCUUGAAAGUCUUAUGCCCAGCAAGGCACCUGGCAUUCAC
This 4305-nucleotide long non-coding RNA is filed under the name Equus asinus (donkey). Its description in RNAcentral is "lncRNA (ENSEASG00005034289.1)". The record is from RNAcentral. Lineage: Eukaryota; Metazoa; Chordata; Mammalia; Perissodactyla; Equidae.